This 714-nucleotide long non-coding RNA is filed under the name Prunus persica (peach). Its description in RNAcentral is "long non-coding RNA (PPER_LNC000192)". Lineage: Eukaryota; Viridiplantae; Streptophyta; Magnoliopsida; Rosales; Rosaceae. The record is from RNAcentral.
GAAGAAGCAAGACAUCACGAUUACUGGUGCCAGCACAUUGCCUAGUGAUGAGGUAUGUCGAUAUUGUUAACUAGCAAGUAAAAAAUUUGCCAGCUUCCUGAUAUUAUAUUUGGCGCUGAAGUCUAGGCAUGCCUUUACUGUGUCUAAGUCUUGAAUUAUUUUGAUGGAAAUGUCUGAAAACAUACAGGUGGAGAGGAUGGUUAGUGAAGCCGAGCGGUUUGCAAAGGAGGACAAGGAGAAGAGAGAGGCCAUUGACACAAAGAACCAGGCUGAUUCUGUUGUCUACCAGACUGAGAAGCAGCUGAAAGAGCUGGGAGACAAGGUUCCAGCCGAAGUUAAAGAGAAGGUUGAGGCAAAACUUGGAGAGCUCAAGGAGUCAGUUGCCGGGGGUUCAACUCAAGCAAUAAAAGAUGCCAUCACGGCCCUUAACCAGGAAGUAAUGCAGCUUGGCCAGUCUCUUUACAACCAGCCUGGCGCUCCCGGUGCUGGUGCUGGUGCAGGGCCAACUCCACCUGGUGCCGAAGCUGGUGGACCUUCAGAAUCAUCGUCCGGCAAGGGACCUGAUGGAGAUGUUAUUGAUGCAGAUUUCACCGACAGCAAGUGAGCAAGAUGGUUGGAUAGAAGUUAGUGGUUUUCUUGCAUAAUUUGUUUUCACUAAAUGUGUAUAAGAGAAUGAUUUUGCGGGGAUGGGAUGUGGUGUUGGAUUACUGUCAU